GAUGAACGCUGGCGGUAUGCUUAACACAUGCAAGUCGAACGGACUCUUCGGAGUUAGUGGCGGACGGGUGAGUAACGCGUGGGAAUCUGGCUUUGGGUUCGGGACAACCACUGGAAACGGUGGCUAAUACCGGAUGUGCCGAGAGGUAAAAGAGAAAUUGCCUGAAGAUGAGCUCGCGUCUGAUUAGCUAGUUGGUGAGGUAAAGGCUCACCAAGGAAGCGAUCAGUAGCUGGUCUGAGAGGAUGACCAGCCACACUGGGACUGAGACACGGCCCAGACUCCUACGGGAGGCAGCAGUGGGGAAUUUUCCGCAAUGGGCGAAAGCCUGACGGAGCAGUACCGCGUGAGGGAAGAAGGCUCUUGGGUUGUAAACCUCUUUUCUUAGGGAAGAACAAAAUGACGGUACCUAAGGAAUCAGCAUCGGCUAACUCCGUG
This 435-nucleotide ribosomal RNA is filed under the name uncultured bacterium. RNAcentral's name for it is "partial 16S ribosomal RNA". It matches the Rfam family "Bacterial small subunit ribosomal RNA", at positions 28 to 507 of the family's 1533-position model. The record is from RNAcentral.